UCAGACCGCGGACCCGACCAAACUGGCCGAUUGUCUAGUCCGAUGGAUCGCCGGUCACAUCCCGUACCUUGGAACCACGCUAAGGCGUCCCCACUUGUUUCUCCUUGCUUGUGCCUUUCAUUCUUAACCUGUUUCUCUCUCCCACACGAUCAGCCUCGCCGGAGAAGUAAAGACCACCCACAAUCGGCCUGUCUUUGGCCGAUCUCUCCCUCUCUCUCUCUAUCUCUAUCUCUCUCUCUCUCUCUAUCUCUAUCUCUCUCUCUCUCUCUCUCUCUCUCUC
Molecule: long non-coding RNA, 280 nt
Filed under: Brassica napus (rape)
Lineage: Eukaryota; Viridiplantae; Streptophyta; Magnoliopsida; Brassicales; Brassicaceae
Description: long non-coding RNA (BNAP_LNC010051)
Source: RNAcentral